RNAcentral lists this ribosomal RNA (463 nucleotides) under uncultured bacterium. RNAcentral's name for it is "partial 16S ribosomal RNA". It matches the Rfam family "Bacterial small subunit ribosomal RNA", at positions 28 to 507 of the family's 1533-position model. The record is from RNAcentral.
GAUGAACGCUGACAGAAUGCUUAACACAUGCAAGUCUUUGGCGAAUCUGUGCUUGCACAGGCUAGCCAAGGCGGACGGGUGAGUAACGGGUAAAGAACUUGCCCUGCAGACAGGGAUAACAGACGGAAACGACUGAUAACACCUGAUACAGUGGCCGGCACGCAUGUGCCUGGCAAUGAAAAGAGAUGCUGCAGGAGAGCGUUGCGUCCUAUUAGCUUGUUGGUGAGGUGACGGCUCACCAAGGCGAUGAUAGGUAGCCGGCCUGAGAGGGUGAACGGCCACAAGGGGACUGAGAUACGGCCCUUACUACUACGGGAGGCAGCAGUGGGGAAUAUUGGACAAUGGGGGCAACACUGAUCCAGCAAUUCUGUGUGCACGAAGAAGGUUUUCGGAUUGUAAAGUGCUUUCAGCAGGGAAGAAGAAAGUGACGGUACCUGCAGAAGAAGCGACGGCUAAAUACGUG